UGGCUCAGAUUGAACGCUGGCGGCAUGCCUUACACAUGCAAGUCGAACGGCAGCACGGGUGCUUGCACCUGGUGGCGAGUGGCGAACGGGUGAGUAAUACAUCGGAACAUGUCCUGUAGUGGGGGAUAGCCCGGCGAAAGCCGGAUUAAUACCGCAUACGAUCUACGGAUGAAAGCGGGGGACCUUCGGGCCUCGCGCUAUAGGGUUGGCCGAUGGCUGAUUAGCUAGUUGGUGGGGUAAAGGCCUACCAAGGCGACGAUCAGUAGCUGGUCUGAGAGGACGACCAGCCACACUGGGACUGAGACACGGCCCAGACUCCUACGGGAGGCAGCAGUGGGGAAUUUUGGACAAUGGGCGAAAGCCUGAUCCAGCAAUGCCGCGUGUGUGAAGAAGGCCUUCGGGUUGUAAAGCACUUUUGUCCGGAAAGAAAUCCCUGGCUCUAAUACAGUCGGGGGAUGACGGUAC
This 465-nucleotide ribosomal RNA is filed under the name Burkholderia multivorans. RNAcentral describes it as "bacterial SSU rRNA". It matches the Rfam family "Bacterial small subunit ribosomal RNA", at positions 20 to 478 of the family's 1533-position model. The record is from RNAcentral. Lineage: Bacteria; Pseudomonadati; Pseudomonadota; Betaproteobacteria; Burkholderiales; Burkholderiaceae.